Molecule: non-coding RNA, 198 nt
Filed under: Clostridium carboxidivorans
Lineage: Bacteria; Bacillati; Bacillota; Clostridia; Eubacteriales; Clostridiaceae
Description: T-box sequence
Rfam family: T-box leader
About the family: Uncharged tRNA acts as the effector for transcription antitermination of genes in the T-box leader family. T-boxes are found upstream of many aminoacyl-tRNA synthetase genes and some amino acid biosynthetic genes usually in Gram-positive bacteria.
Source: RNAcentral
CUAAAUGCUAUGAUAUGGGAAGAGUAAAUAGUGAAAGAUUUUUUAGAGAGUGAGGGCAGGUGAAAGCUCACAAAUUGGAAGCUGUUGAAAAUCACCCAGGAGCAGCAAGCUGAAAUUAGUAAGCUAUGCCGGCGUGAAGUCGUUAUUAAAAUUAAGUUAUAAAUAUGGGUGGUAACGCGAUCAAACCUCGCCCCAAAU